AAAGCAGGUCAUAGUGAUCCGGUGGUUCUGAAUGGAAGGGCCAUCGCUCAACGGAUAAAAGGUACUCCGGGGAUAACAGGCUGAUACCGCCCAAGAGUUCAUAUCGACGGCGGUGUUUGGCACCUCGAUGUCGGCUCAUCACAUCCUGGGGCUGAAGUAGGUCCCAAGGGUAUGGCUGUUCGCCAUUUAAAGUGGUACGCGAGCUGGGUUUAGAACGUCGUGAGACAGUUCGGUCCCUAUCUGCCGUGGGCGCUGGAGAACUGAGGGGGGCUGCUCCUAGUACGAGAGGACCGGAGUGGACGCAUCACUGGUGUUCGGGUUGUCAUGCCAAUGGCACUGCCCGGUAGCUAAAUGCGGAAGAGAUAAGUGCUGAAAGCAUCUAAGCACGAAACUUGCCCC
RNAcentral lists this ribosomal RNA (399 nucleotides) under Escherichia coli. RNAcentral describes it as "partial 23S ribosomal RNA". It matches the Rfam family "Bacterial large subunit ribosomal RNA", at positions 2402 to 2800 of the family's 2925-position model. Lineage: Bacteria; Pseudomonadati; Pseudomonadota; Gammaproteobacteria; Enterobacterales; Enterobacteriaceae. The record is from RNAcentral.